AAGCGCAAGAUUCCUUACCAGCGGUUUGAGCAUGCAGUACAGCACCGCUCGUAACGGAGCGUACCCGCAAGGGACGGCUGUUACAGGUGCUGCAUGGCUGUUUUGUCAGCUCGUGUCGUGAGAUGUUGGGUUCAGUCCCGCAACGAGCGCAACCCCUAUCGUUGGUUACACGUGUCCAGCGAGACUGCUCCUACAAGGGAGAGGAAGGCGGGGAUGACGUCAAGUCAGCACGGCCCUUACGUCCUGGGCUACACACACGCUACAAUGGCCGGUACAACGGGACGCCAACCAGCGAUGGGGAGCCAAUCCCAGCAAAACCGGUCUCAGUUCGAAUUGGAGGCUGCAACCCGCCUCCAUGAAGUCGGAGUUGCUAGUAACUGUGGGUCAGCACACCACAGUGAAUACGUUCCCGGGUUUUUGUAUCUUCAUCCGAAGG
Molecule: ribosomal RNA, 436 nt
Filed under: uncultured bacterium
Lineage: Bacteria
Description: bacterial SSU rRNA
Rfam family: Bacterial small subunit ribosomal RNA
Source: RNAcentral